UAUAUCAUUUUUCAGUUUGCGUGUCGACCGGCGACAUUCCCGUGCUGGCGCACAGGAAAUGCUUCCUCACAACAAGAAGGGAGGGGGAGGAAGAGCGGAGAGUGUCAUAGCAAGAGGUAGAGCGCAGGUAGAAAGAGAAAGCAACAUGGCGGAGAAGCGGCCGAGACACGGUUCAGAAGUGGAUCCUACCACAAAGAAAAAGCCUGGACGUUCGGCUGAAGGUCUAUUAGCAAAGAAGGAAAGUGACCGACGGAGAAGGCAAACAAGGAUUUGUAUUGGCGUCGCUUUUCCUCGGUGGAGAGCCCUGAAGGAAGAAAUUGGGCUGAGGGCAGACACGGAUGUUGCCUUGCUGCUGUUGGAUAAUGCCUGAUCCUCAACCCAAUCAUUCCUCAGUCACUGCGACCUCCAGCCGAUCACAGCGGAGGGCCAGAAACAAACAGAGGUCGCAGCAAGUGAAGAAACUUGACCCUGACGUCAAACCCAAACCAAGAGCGUGUCCUCCAGUCUUACAAAUGUCACUUGUGUAGAUCUGACAGGAACAGAGGUGGCCAAAGUAAUCAGCUAUCCAACAGCACCCUCUGGAGCUGGUGAAGAGAAAGAUGACGUGUAAACAAGAUCGGCUAAUCAACCCAUCUACACAGGAAGCCAAUGUUUUGACAGAGGAAGUGUGUGGAUAGAAGUAGCCUGACACACACAGGUCAACUUGCAGGAAAUACAAAUGAGCUUCUGAAAAUAUAACAAAUUAAACAGAUGAAAAAAAAAAAUCUCUUUUGUUGCACAACUAAUUUUUACAUGUAUACCAUUGUAAAUUUUCACAAGUUGGUGACUUCAAGAAACAGGUUGUCUCUGUCAGUCUGUCUUGCUGGUUUUACUAAUCUGUUUCAUCACUCACUUGCUUAAUUCUUAGCCUCUAAUCUUUUGUCUCUUCCUUCCUCUGUGUGAUAGUGAGUGCACGAUGGAAGUUGUUGACACUGAAUGACAG
Epinephelus moara (kelp grouper) is the source of this 982-nucleotide long non-coding RNA. RefSeq lists it as uncharacterized. The transcript has 3 exons. Lineage: Eukaryota; Metazoa; Chordata; Actinopteri; Perciformes; Serranidae. The record is from RefSeq and is a predicted model, not a curated record.